RNAcentral lists this long non-coding RNA (603 nucleotides) under Triticum aestivum (bread wheat). Its description in RNAcentral is "long non-coding RNA (TAES_LNC020366)". The record is from RNAcentral. Lineage: Eukaryota; Viridiplantae; Streptophyta; Magnoliopsida; Poales; Poaceae.
AGAGCUGAGGGCUCACAUUUCCACCUCCCAUUUGAGGAACAAGCAUCGUUGGUAUGAUGAUGCUGGUGUCCAACAUGACUAUGAAAUGUUGAAAUCCUUACAAGCACAAGAGGAACAUCAACUUAUAUACUAUUUGAUUAAUAUGAGUACAUCAACUUAUAUACUAUUUGAUUAAUAUGAGUAGUACAUACUAUCAAUUGCAUAAAAGCAUGUGCAGCUGAAAGGCCUUUUCAUUAUAAAUAAAUUCAAGAUCAAUGAACCAGCAAAAGAAUUUGUUUCCAACAAAAAACUUUCUCUACUGAAAAUAUGAAGACUGAUGUGCAUCGACAACAACAAAAAUAGGUCAGUAAUCAGCACACAUGAUGCAGUGGGAAAGAAAGCCUGGACAUGAAACAACAAGUACGAGCAAAAACUGAGGACAGUGAAGGACAAGCACGGAAUGUAAGAGGGAAACUUUCAAAGAGCAAAUCAAGAGGCCCCUGAGGCGGGGUGAAGCAGAGCACGGUACGCCAUGGCGGUGAGCUGGUGAUGCAGAAAGACACGCUGGGCAGCUGCUCCUUGAGCGGAUGCCGCUGCAGCUCGUCGGCCUUGGGCGGCGGGGCG